CUAAGAUAUGUUCUCUAUUUUUUUUCUAUUUGAUAUCUAUAUCUGAAUCCUAUCUCAUAUAUGAUGAUCCUAUUUAUGAUUUUAAGAUUUGAUCUUACGCACACUUAGAUUAAAUUAGAUUUAAUAUGAAAUUUUAAAUUUCACUGCAUACUUGUUUUGAAAAUUUUCUUUGCAUGCAUGAAAUCAUGAAACUCCAACACUUGGGGAGUGGAUGU
Molecule: long non-coding RNA, 215 nt
Filed under: Elaeis guineensis (African oil palm)
Lineage: Eukaryota; Viridiplantae; Streptophyta; Magnoliopsida; Arecales; Arecaceae
Description: long non-coding RNA (EGUI_LNC075680)
Source: RNAcentral